RNAcentral lists this ribosomal RNA (206 nucleotides) under uncultured Sedimentibacter sp. RNAcentral's name for it is "partial 16S ribosomal RNA". It matches the Rfam family "Bacterial small subunit ribosomal RNA", at positions 568 to 774 of the family's 1533-position model. Lineage: Bacteria; Bacillati; Bacillota; Tissierellia. The record is from RNAcentral.
UGAGUAGGCGGUUGCAUAUGUCAGAUGUAAAAGGCACAGGCUUAACUUGUGUUAGCAUUUGAAACUGUGUGACUUGAGUGCAGGAGAGGUAAGUGGAAUUCCUAGUGUAGCAGUGAAAUGCGUAGAUAUUAGGAGGAACACCAGUGGCGAAGGCGACUUACUGGACUGUAACUGACGCUGAGUCACGAAAGCGUGGGUAGCAAACA